UGGGCCUGUAACCCAAGCGGGAGUAUUAAGAUUGUGGGAGACUUAUGGAAGCCCAUCGAACGGCUUGGGCCUAGUAUCCUCUUAUAUGAAGGUCCAGUACAAAUACCCAACAGGUAAUGAUGGGUUGUCCACCCCCUAUCCUACCCGUUUGGGUAUUUGUCCCUGACGGCUGACUUAACAGAGCGGUCGUGCAGCGUUCACCUUCUUUGGUUGGUGUCAUUUAGGUGGAUCUCAUAUUAGAUUUCUAUGGCCCAAUACGAUCUUAUGGGCUUAUAACUUGGACCACUCUUUUUGCCCAAACCUUAGCGCUCAGACAGUGUCAUCUCUCAAACUCGAACCAACAUGCAUUAUCAAGAAAAAGUCCCAUAUUAGAUUUCUAUGGCCCAAUACAACCUUCUGGGCUUAUAACUUGGACCAUUAUUUUU
This 425-nucleotide long non-coding RNA is filed under the name Capsicum annuum. RNAcentral's name for it is "long non-coding RNA (CANN_LNC016651)". The record is from RNAcentral. Lineage: Eukaryota; Viridiplantae; Streptophyta; Magnoliopsida; Solanales; Solanaceae.